This 457-nucleotide ribosomal RNA is filed under the name uncultured bacterium. RNAcentral's name for it is "bacterial SSU rRNA". It matches the Rfam family "Bacterial small subunit ribosomal RNA", at positions 340 to 786 of the family's 1533-position model. The record is from RNAcentral.
UACGGGAGGCAGCAGUGGGGAAUAUUGCACAAUGGGCGAAAGCCUGAUGCAGCUAUGCCGCGUGUAUGAAGAAGGCCUUAGGGUUGUAAAGUACUUUCAUCGGGGAGGAAAAAAACAAAACUAAUAAUUUUAUUUCUUGACGUUACCCGAAAAAGAAGCACCGGCUAACUCCGUGCCAGCAGCCGCGGUAAUACGGAGGGUGCUAGCGUUAAUCAGAAUUACUGGGCGUAAAGAGCACGUAGGUGGUUUUUUAAGUCAGAUGUGAAAUCCCUGGGCUUAACCUAGGAACUGCAUUUUGAAACUGAAAUACUAGAGUAUCGUAGAGGGAGGUAGAAUUCUAGGUGUAGCGGUGAAAUGCGUAGAUAUCUGGAGGAAUACCUGUGGCGAAAGCGGCCUCCUAAACGAAUACUGACACUGAGGUGCGAAAGCGUGGGGAGCAAAACAGGGAUUAGAUACC